UGGGGAAUAUUGGACAAUGGGCGAAAGCCUGAUCCAGCCAUGCCGCGUGUGUGAAGAAGGUCUUCGGAUUGUAAAGCACUUUAAGUUGGGAGGAAGGGCAGCUAACUAAUACUUCGCUGUUUUGACGUUACCGACAGAAUAAGCACCGGCUAACUCUGUG
RNAcentral lists this ribosomal RNA (160 nucleotides) under uncultured bacterium. Its description in RNAcentral is "partial 16S rRNA". It matches the Rfam family "Bacterial small subunit ribosomal RNA", at positions 355 to 507 of the family's 1533-position model. The record is from RNAcentral.